AUUGACCUCGGAUCAGGUAGGGAUACCCGCUGAACUUAAGCAUAUCAAUAAGCGGAGGAAAAGAAACCAACAGGGAUUGCCCUAGUAACGGCGAGUGAAGCGGCAACAGCUCAAAUUUGAAAUCUGGCUCCUUUGGGGUCCGAGUUGUAAUUUGUAGAGGGUGCUUUGGCGUUGGUUGUGGUCUAAGUUCCUUGGAACAGGACGUCACAGAGGGUGAGAAUCCCGUACGUGGCCGCCAGCCUCCGCCGUGUAAAGCCCCUUCGAUGAGUCGAGUUGUUUGGGAAUGCAGCUCUAAAUGGGAGGUAAAUUUCUUCUAAAGCUAAAUAUUUGCCAGAGACCGAUAGCGCACAAGUAGAGUGAUCGAAAGAUGAAAAGCACUUUGGAAAGAGAGUCAAAAAGCACGUGAAAUUGUUGAAAGGGAAGCGCUUGCAGCUAGACGUGCCUUGGGUUGAUCAGCCGGACUUUUGCCCGGUGCACUCUUCCUUUGGCAGGCCAGCAUCAGUUUGGGCGGCUGGAUAAAGGUCUGUUAAACGUGACUUCCUUCGGGGAGAGCUUAUAGGGCAGACGACAUGCAGCCAGCCUGAACUGAGGUCCGCGCAUCUGCUAGGAUGCUGGCGUAAUAGCUGUAAGCGGCCCGUCUUGAAACACGGACCAAGGAGUCUAACAUCUAUGCGAGUGUUUGGGUGUCAAGCCCGAGCGCGUAAUGAAAGUAAACGGAGGUGGGAACCUUUUAGGUGCACCAUCGACCGAUCCUGAUGUCUUCGGAUGGAUUUGAGUAAGAGCAUAGCUGUUGGGACCCGAAAGAUGGUGAACUAUGCCUGAAUAGGGUGAAGCCAGAGGAAACUCUGGUGGAGGCUCGCAGCGGUUCUGACGUGCAAAUCGAUCGUCAAAUUUGGGCAUAGGGGCGAAAGACUAAUCGAC
RNAcentral lists this ribosomal RNA (921 nucleotides) under Lophiostoma compressum. Its description in RNAcentral is "partial large subunit ribosomal RNA". It matches the Rfam family "Eukaryotic large subunit ribosomal RNA", at positions 1 to 940 of the family's 3401-position model. Lineage: Eukaryota; Fungi; Ascomycota; Dothideomycetes; Pleosporales; Lophiostomataceae. The record is from RNAcentral.